This 65-nucleotide transfer RNA is filed under the name Chyliza chikuni. RNAcentral describes it as "tRNA-Pro". The record is from RNAcentral. Lineage: Eukaryota; Metazoa; Arthropoda; Insecta; Diptera; Psilidae.
CAAGAAAUAGUUUAUAAAAAUAUUAAUUUUGGGGAUUAAUGAUAGAAUUAUUUUUCUUUUCUUGA